GUUAUCACUCUUGGGAUGGGACCUGCGGUGCAUUAGCUAGUUGGUAAGGGCAACGGGCUUACCAAGGCAAUGAUGCAUAGCCGAGUUGAGAGACUGAUCGGCCACAUUGGGACUGAGACACGGCCCAAACUCCUACGGGAGGCAGCAGUAGGGGAAUCUUCCACAAUGGACACAAGUCUGAUGGAGCAAACGCCGCGUGAGUGAAGAAGGGUUUCGGCUCGUAAAGCUCUGUUGGUAGUGAAGAAAGAUAGAGGUAGUAACUGGCCCUUUAUUUGACGGUAAUUACUUAGAAAAGUCACGGGCCAAUUACGUGCCAGCAGCCGCGGGUAAAUA
RNAcentral lists this ribosomal RNA (333 nucleotides) under uncultured Lactobacillus sp. RNAcentral's name for it is "bacterial SSU rRNA". It matches the Rfam family "Bacterial small subunit ribosomal RNA", at positions 209 to 525 of the family's 1533-position model. The record is from RNAcentral. Lineage: Bacteria; Bacillati; Bacillota; Bacilli; Lactobacillales; Lactobacillaceae.